CGCGUAGGCGGCUUGGCAAGUCAAAGGUGAAAUCCCUCGGCUCAACCGAGGAACUGCCUUUGAAACUGCCUCGCUCGAGGCCGGGAGGGGGUAGCGGAAUUCCCAGUGUAGCGGUGAAAUGCGUAGAUACUGGGAGGAACACCGGUGGCGAAGGCGGCUACCUGGACCGGUUCUGACGCUGAGGCGCGAAAGCGUGGGGAGCAAACA
RNAcentral lists this ribosomal RNA (207 nucleotides) under uncultured bacterium. RNAcentral describes it as "partial 16S ribosomal RNA". It matches the Rfam family "Bacterial small subunit ribosomal RNA", at positions 568 to 774 of the family's 1533-position model. The record is from RNAcentral.